Molecule: ribosomal RNA, 325 nt
Filed under: Aphaenops vandeli
Lineage: Eukaryota; Metazoa; Arthropoda; Insecta; Coleoptera; Carabidae
Description: partial 16S ribosomal RNA
Source: RNAcentral
UUAAAUGGCUGCAGUAAUUUGACUGUACAAAGGUAGCAUAAUCAUUAGUUUUUUAAUUAAAAGCUUGAAUGAAAGGUUGGACGAAGUAAAAUCUGUCUCUUUUAAAUAAAAUUAGAAUUUAAUUUUUAAGUUAAAAAGCUUAAAUUUUUAUAAAAGACGAGAAGACCCUAUAGAGUUUAAUAAUUUUUUGGGAAUAAUUAAUUUAGUUUUAUUAAUUUUAUUUUCUAGAAAUUAUUUUAUUGGGGUAAUAAUAAGAUUUAAAUAAUUCUUUUUUUUUUACCAUUAAUUUAUGAAAUGUAUGAUCCAUUAUUUUUAUGAUUAUAAG